CGGGGAGACUCCACCAUGGCCUGGGCCCCUCUCCUCCUCACCCUCCUGGCUCAGUGCACAGGGUCCUGGGCCCAGUCUGGGCUGACUCAGCCGCCCUCAGUGUCGGGGUCCCCGGGCCAGAGGGUCACCAUCCCCUGCACUGGAAGCAGCUCCAACAUCGGGGGUGGAUAUUAUGUAACCUGGUACCGACAGUUCCCAGGAUCGGCCCCCAGACUCCUCAUCUAUGAAAACAGCAAACGUCCCUCGGGGGUCCCGGACCGAUUCUCAGGCUCCAAGUCUGGCAGCUCCGGCUCCCUGACCAUCACUGGGCUGCAGGCUGAGGACGAGGCCGACUAUUACUGCUCAGCGUGGGACGACAGCUUGAAUGGUCACCCCAAGGCCGCGCCCUCGGUCACCCUCUUCCCGCCCUCCUCCGAGGAGCUCAGCGCCAACAAGGCCACAGUGGUGUGUCUCAUCAGUGACUUCUACCCCGGCGCCGUGACGGUGGCCUGGAAGGCAGACGGCGCCCCCGUCACCCAGGGCGUGGAGACCACCAAGCCCUCCAAACAGAGCAACAACAAGUACGCGGCCAGCAGCUACCUGAGGCUCUCCCCCGACGCGUGGAAGUCUCACAGCAGCGUCAGCUGCCAGGUCACGCACGAAGGGAGCACCGUGGAGAAGACGCUGGCCCCCAGGGAGUGCUCUUAGG
Molecule: non-coding RNA, 688 nt
Organism: Manis pentadactyla (Chinese pangolin)
Lineage: Eukaryota; Metazoa; Chordata; Mammalia; Pholidota; Manidae
Source: the annotation of a RefSeq genome assembly